GCAAACUUGGUCAUUUAGAGGAAGUAAAAGUCGUAACAAGGUCUCCGUAGGUGAACCUGCGGAGGGAUCAUUAAUGAGAACUUGCCCUUACGGGUAGAUCUCCCACCCUUUGUUUAUUAUACCUUUGUUGCUUUGCUAGGCCCGUCCUCGGACCGCCGGCUUCGGCUGGCCAGCGCCUGGCAGAGGACCCAAACUCUUUUAUUAUUGUCGUCAGAGUACUAUAUCAAUAGUUAAAACUUUCAACAACGGAUCUCUUGGUUCUGGCAUCAAUGAAGAACGCAGC
This 283-nucleotide unclassified non-coding RNA is filed under the name uncultured fungus. RNAcentral's name for it is "partial contains small subunit ribosomal RNA, internal transcribed spacer 1, and 5.8S ribosomal RNA". The stretch from base 1 to 73 matches the Rfam family "Eukaryotic small subunit ribosomal RNA", at positions 1759 to 1831 of the family's 1831-position model. Lineage: Eukaryota; Fungi. The record is from RNAcentral.